This is a long non-coding RNA of Sphaerodactylus townsendi, 686 nucleotides long. RefSeq lists it as uncharacterized. The transcript has 4 exons. Lineage: Eukaryota; Metazoa; Chordata; Lepidosauria; Squamata; Sphaerodactylidae. The record is from RefSeq and is a predicted model, not a curated record.
CCCCACCUUUCUCAGUGGAACAGCUGAGGCCUGAUCCUACUGCCCAGGUAAUCCAGCUAGUUCCCUGAAGUUUCUCCUGGCUUCUGACUUCCAAGAGGUUCCUGUGUUUGCUGUGCAAGGAGUUUUACACCAGCAGAAGACUGGCCUCAGAAAGUCCAUGGUCCCCAAAAAUUGUAAGCCAGUGGAAUCAUAAUAGAGGGAGGCUGAAUGGAUUCAGAAAGUUUUCCAUUAACUGCUCUUGGCCAUAAAAACCACUUAACACUCCUUCUUGAAUCUCAUCCAAAAUAGGCACUGCCAAAAUAAUGUGGACAAGGCAUGAGGUUUUUCAAUACAUCGCUUCUGAGGAGGACAGGCAGCCACAUAGGAAGCAUUUGAAUCCUGACAGUGCUUUCCAAACACCAGCUGCAAUAUGCAUCACAGUGGCUCCAGUGCAAUCAUAUGCAGAAGAAUGAAUUGAAAAUCAUUGUGCUGGUCUCAGUGGACAUGAGCAUAUCUACAAGGCAGCUGAUUGAACUCACAUUUUGGCAUUGUUGUACAUAACCAAAAGUAUAAAAUAAGACGCCUCAGAAAAUGUGGGUGUCUUUUCUCUAAGAAUGCCCAGAACCAAACAUUGGAAGAUAGCCAUGUACUUAUUUCGCAGUUGUCUCCAUAAGAUGUAUGGAUUGGCUGUAGCAGUUGAAUGAAAG